CGUAACACGUAUGCAACCUACCUAUCAUUGGGGGAUAGCCUUUGGAAACGGAGAUUAAUACCGCAUAAGACAGUAACAUGGCAUCAUGUAGCUGUUAAAGCUUCGGCGAUGAUAGAUGGGCAUGCGUCCAAUUAGUUAGUUGGUGAGGUAACGGCUCACCAAGACGAUGAUUGGUAGGGGAUCUGAGAGGAUAAUCCCCCACACUGGCACUGAGAUACGGGCCAGACUCCUACGGGAGGCAGCAGUAGGGAAUAUUGGGCAAUGGGCGGAAGUCUGACCCAGCCAUGCCGCGUGCAGGAUGAAGGCGUUAUGCGUUGUAAACUGCUUUUUUAUAGGAAGAAGGAGACCUUGCGAGGUUUGGUGACGGUACUAUAAGAAUAAGCACCGGCUAACUCCGUGCCAGCAGCCGCGGUAAUACGGAGGGUGCGAGCGUUGUCCGGAUUUAUUGGGUUUAAAGGGUGCGUAGGCGGUUUAUUAAGUCAGUGGUGAAAGACGGUCGCUCAACGAUUGCAGUGCCAUUGAUACUGGUAGACUUGAGUUCGUAUGAGGUA
RNAcentral lists this ribosomal RNA (551 nucleotides) under Flectobacillus roseus. RNAcentral describes it as "bacterial SSU rRNA". It matches the Rfam family "Bacterial small subunit ribosomal RNA", at positions 109 to 659 of the family's 1533-position model. The record is from RNAcentral. Lineage: Bacteria; Pseudomonadati; Bacteroidota; Cytophagia; Cytophagales; Flectobacillaceae.